This is a long non-coding RNA of Triticum dicoccoides, 749 nucleotides long. RefSeq lists it as uncharacterized. Lineage: Eukaryota; Viridiplantae; Streptophyta; Magnoliopsida; Poales; Poaceae. The record is from RefSeq and is a predicted model, not a curated record. The transcript is spliced from 4 exons.
CGCCUAGCCAUCGAAGCCACCGCAUGCCCCAGCGAAUAUCGCCGCCGCCCGCCUGAGGGCCUCAUGCCGCCGCCGCUCGCCCCUUUUCUGUAGGUCGCCGAUGCAACCCCGGGACCCGGGACCGUUUGCUCCUCCUAACCAGGCCCGAGUAGGCGACCGUCAGGAACGCGCAGCCGCCGGAGCCAUGGGUAGAUCCAGCCGGGGCCGUCGACAGCCAUCCCCCCCUCCGGCGGCCAUGAAGAAUUGAAGAGGCUUGAACAGAACGAGCGCAUGGACCGUGCGCGCCUCCCACGCUAGGAGCCAUCGGUCCUCGUCAGCUGCUAACCUUCACAUGGAAUCGAUCUAUAUUGUCGGCGCCUCAAGGGUUUAUGCAUAUCAAUUCCAUGUUGCUUAAAGCCACUGUAAUGAUGGCUAUUGAUUUCCAGUUGUGUGCAUAGAUGAACCUAUUCUGGAUAAUGAGUUAGUAAGAUUCAAAAGAAAAUAAAAGGAGUUGGAGGUGAAUUCUUCGGUUGGAUGAAGAAGCAAAUAAAAUGAGAAGAUUUUACUUAGCAAUAACCAUAGUUUACAUUGAUAGAUCGAAAAGUGUAAUGCCAUUCACAAGAUCUGUUUCUUUGGUCGAAUGAUGCAAAUUCUAUGGUGUAAUAUUCUCCAUAGAUGUGUUCUCUAUAGUAGAGUUGAUAUGAAUGAUAUGUUGUUCAACCAAUAACAUUGGUAUUUAUUGCAAUGUAUAUGUAUCCUACACUCUUGUA